Molecule: ribosomal RNA, 327 nt
Filed under: uncultured eukaryote
Lineage: Eukaryota
Description: partial 18S ribosomal RNA
Rfam family: Eukaryotic small subunit ribosomal RNA
Source: RNAcentral
CCCUUAGAUGUUCUGGGCCGCACGCGCGCUACACUGAUUCAUGCAACAAGUUUUGUCCUUGGCUGAUAGGCCUGGGUAAUCUUUGAACGUGAAUCGUGAUGGGGAUAGAUGAUUGCAAUUAUUCAUCUUCAACGAGGAAUUCCUAGUAAACGCAAGUCAUCAGCUUGCAUUGAUUACGUCCCUGCCCUUUGUACACACCGCCCGUCGCACCUACCGAUUGAAUGGUCCGGUGAAAUCUUCGGAUCUGAGAGAUGUCUGAUUAAUUUCGGACGCCUUUUGGAAAAGUUGCUUAAACCUUACCAUUUAGAGGAAGGGGAANUCGUANCA